CCGCAGCUCGAGUGGUGGUCGCUAUUAUUGAGCCUAAAGCGUCCGUAGCCGGUCUGGUAAAUCCUUGGGGAAAUCGAGCAGCUUAACUGUUCGAAGACCGAGGAGACUGCUAGACUUGGGACCGGGGGAGGUCAGAGGUACUCCGGGAGUAGGGGUGAAAUCCUAUGAUCCUCGGGGGACCACCAGUGGCGAAGGCGUCUGACUAAAACGGAUCCGACGGUAAGGGACGAAACCCUGGGGCGCGAACGGGAUUAGAGACCCCAGUAGUCC
RNAcentral lists this ribosomal RNA (270 nucleotides) under uncultured archaeon. Its description in RNAcentral is "partial 16S ribosomal RNA". It matches the Rfam family "Archaeal small subunit ribosomal RNA", at positions 477 to 747 of the family's 1478-position model. The record is from RNAcentral.